Molecule: long non-coding RNA, 1154 nt
Organism: Gasterosteus aculeatus aculeatus (three-spined stickleback)
Lineage: Eukaryota; Metazoa; Chordata; Actinopteri; Perciformes; Gasterosteidae
Source: Ensembl
GAUUGUCCCGCAGUUUCUCUUGCGCCUGCCUGACUUGGAUCACCUCACCUUGCCCCGGUUAUUCACCCACCCUUUUGUCUCUGACCACGUCUUUUCCUGGUUCGUACCUCACCCGUGCAUUCUGGCCAGAACAUUUAUCCAGCAGGAAACCUCACCCCAUAGGUCCGGUUUGCGGCGAUCACGGAAGUGAUCCAGCAACACAAGACUGUGGUGGUCCCUUUCCUGAGAAAGUGCCAGAUCCGUCCACCUGGGACCUUUAUGCAGUCUUCACCUCUUCAAUAACACGCCCAUUACCCAAUGACCUUCAUAGUAAUUGACUUGGAUGUCCAUAGCCAAAUGACAAGAACAAGUCUGCCGUGCGUGGGACUGGGUGACCCUCAUUACACGCUAUUUACAUGUCACGUUCCGUCACUGAGAUGUUCAAACAUCCCUGAGUGUUCAUUUUUCAUCACCUCGCUCCUGUUCUAUCCUAGUUUCCCUUUCACAUGAGCCCUGAGCUCCAUCAAUGUCAAUGAAGGUGUCGAUUAUGAUGUCUCACGCCAUCAUUUCCCCGUCUUCCAUCAUUUGUGGCGCUUUGAUUCCUUCACCGGGGAUGUGAGUGAAUAAGAUUGAAGGAAAGAGGCUGAAGAAAUGUAUUAGGGUUGUGAUACUUUAACCGCUGUCUGUAUUUAGUUUGUUAGCUUAUAACACUGAGUGGCUUCUAAACUCACAAUCACAUUUUCUUUUGUUUUAUCACAAUUACCUCAAACACAACAUCCAACAGACUUUGUCUAUUCCCGUCCCUCGGUUUAAAUAAGUGAUUGGAUUGGCUUGACUUGUUAUUAUCUUUUUAUUAUUAUUUAUCACAAAUGCAGUUACAUGAAAAGUAUGUGGUGUAGUAUAAAUAGUAGUACAGACGAAAUAUCAUAAGAUAUAAUAAUCCUUCAGGUUUGAAAACCUUUCAGGAGAAAAAACAAACAUUUGUCAGGACUCAACAAAUAAUGUGUUUUAGUUUAAAUUGUUCCUUGCAGUGUGUGUGAUAUUGAACUAUUCUAAAUCGACCCAUUGAGGACGGAUGCACCCGUGAUAGCCAGCAGGACCUAUUGUUGAUCCUUUCACUUUGGACACAUUUUAUUGUUUGUCCUCUUCGCUCCUUCACGCUCAGCACCUCUUCC